CCGACGGGUGAGUAACACGUAUGCAAUCCACCUGUAACAGGGGGAGUAACCCGGAGAAAUCCGACUAAUACCCAUAAUAUGGGCGCUCCGCAUGGAGAGUUCAUUAAAGAGAGCAAUUUUGGUUACAGACGAGCAUGCGCUCCAUUAGCCAGUUGGCGGGGUAACGGCCCACCAAGGCGACGAUGGAUAGGGGUUCUGAGAGGAAGGUCCCCCACAUUGGAACUGAGACACGGUCCAA
RNAcentral lists this ribosomal RNA (238 nucleotides) under uncultured bacterium. RNAcentral's name for it is "partial 16S ribosomal RNA". It matches the Rfam family "Bacterial small subunit ribosomal RNA", at positions 102 to 334 of the family's 1533-position model. The record is from RNAcentral.